AUCUAGGGGAGCCGUAGGGAAACCGAGUCUUAACUGGGCGUCAUAGUUGCUAGGAUUAGACCCGAAACCGAGUGAUCUAGCCAUGGGCAGGUUGAAGAUUGAGUAACAUCAAUUGGAGGACCGAACCGACUAAUGUUGAAAAAUUAGCGGAUGACUUGUGGCUAGGGGUGAAAGGCCAAUCAAACUCGGAGAUAGCUGGUUCUCCCCGAAAGCUAUUUAGGUAGCGCCUCGGACGAAUACUACUGGGGGUAGAGCACUGUUAAGGCUAGGGGGUCAUCCCGACUUACCAACCCUUUGCAAACUCCGAAUACCAGUAAGUACUAUCCGGGAGACACACGGCGGGUGCUAACGUCCGUCGUGAAGAGGGAAACAACCCAGACCGCCAGCUAAGGUCCCAAAGUUAUAGCUAAGUGGGAAACGAUGUGGGAAGGCUCAGACAGCCAGGAUGUUGGCUUAGAAGCAGCCAUCAUUUAAAGAAAGCGUAAUAGCUCACUGGUCGAGUCGGCCUGCGCGGAAGAUUUAACGGGGCUAAGCUAUACACCGAAGCUGCGGCAAUGUGCUUUGCACAUUGGGUAGGGGAGCGUUCUGUAAGCCGUUGAAGGUGCAUUGUAAAGUGUGCUGGAGGUAUCAGAAGUGCGAAUGCUGACAUGAGUAACGACAAAGGGAGUGAAAAACUCCCUCGCCGGAAGACCAAGGGUUCCUGUCCAACGUUAAUCGGGGCAGGGUGAGUCGACCCCUAAGGCGAGGCCGAAAGGCGUAGUCGAUGGGAAACGGGUUAAUAUUCCCGUACUUCUUACUAUUGCGAUGGGGGGACGGAGAAGGCUAGGUGAGCCUGGCGACGGUUGUCCAGGUCCAAGUACGUAGGUGGAUGAAUUAGGCAAAUCCGGUUCAUCAUUAACACUGAGAUACGAUGUCGAGCUACUACGGUAGCGAAGUCAUUGAUGCCAUGCUUCCGGGAAAAGCCUCUAAGCUUCAGAUAGUAAGAAAUCGUACCCCAAACCGACACAGGUGGUCGAGUAGAGAAUACCAAGGCGCUUGAGAGAACUCGGGUGAAGGAACUAGGCAAAAUGGUACCGUAACUUCGGGAGAAGGUACGCUCUUAACGGUGAAGUCCCUCGCGGAUGGAGCUGUCGAGAGUCGCAGAUACCAGGUGGCUGCAACUGUUUAUUAAAAACACAGCACUGUGCAAAAUCGAAAGAUGACGUAUACGGUGUGACGCCUGCCCGGUGCC
Molecule: ribosomal RNA, 1231 nt
Filed under: Photobacterium damselae
Lineage: Bacteria; Pseudomonadati; Pseudomonadota; Gammaproteobacteria; Vibrionales; Vibrionaceae
Description: bacterial LSU rRNA
Rfam family: Bacterial large subunit ribosomal RNA
Source: RNAcentral